ACCCUUAGAUGUCCUGGGCUGCACGCGCGCUACACUGAAAGUUACGGAUUGACUUUUUACCUUGUCCGAAAUGGUCCGGGUAAUCACCUAAAAGCUUGUCAUAAUUGGAAUGGAUUAUUGUAACUAGUAAUCCUGAACGAGGAAUUCCUAGUAAGUCCCAGUCAACAGCUGGUACUGAUUACGUCCCUGCCCUUUGUACACACCGCCCGUCGCUACUACUGAUUGGACGUUUAAGCAAGAUUUUUAAACACUGACAGUUAAUGGCUUCGGCCAAGACACAGUGAGAAGAAGAAGAUCGAGCUUACUUGUCUAGAGGAAGUAAAAGUCGUAACA
RNAcentral lists this ribosomal RNA (333 nucleotides) under uncultured eukaryote. RNAcentral's name for it is "partial 18S ribosomal RNA". It matches the Rfam family "Eukaryotic small subunit ribosomal RNA", at positions 1469 to 1796 of the family's 1831-position model. The record is from RNAcentral.